AAACUUAUCAAAUUUAAUUUUAAAAUAUUUUUAAUACUCUCUAGCUAAAAUAUUUUUAGAAAAGGUGUUUUUCUAAAGCGUAGCUCCAACAACAAUGCCAAACAAACUUGUAAUGGUGUCUUAGACGUGUUUCAUUUUUCUCAUUUUUGUUCACUGCGUUUCAAAGAAAAAGCAGCAUAAGAGAUUAGAGGAAGAGUGCCUGCUUGAGGAUUGAACCUAAUCAGCAGGAAAACAAAAAGAAAAUUAUAGGAAAAUCUUUGAAGUAAUCAUUAGCAAAUGUAUAGCAGCACCUUAAAACCAAGUAAAAAGAGAAGAUGGCCUUAAAAGAACAAACCAUUUGUGAAGCCAGUUGCAAUAGGGAAGAACAGACAAAGAAAAUGGAGUUGCAGAUUUAUAGUUCUUAAGAUUUGUGAAUUGAAGUUAUAAAAUGAACAGAAAUAGGAGAAAAGGCACCAUUUUGGUAAAUAAUAAUUAGCAAGAACAUAUAAAGAUAAUAACAAAAUUAUCUAGUUAAUUAUGAAAAAUAAACCACGAAUAUAUAUAAUCAUCCAUCAAUGACUAUGGAACUCCAUAAUUAAUUAUCUUUACAAGUCAUUUCUUCAUCUGAAUUAGCAUCAAGGUAAAAUUGUUGAUAUAAGCUAAUGCAAGAAUCAGGCUCUUGGAAUCAAAACAAGACAAUAAUAAAGACCCAUGUGAAAGAUAAUGUUUCUCGUGAUUAAAUGAUAAGUCUCAUUCUUCGAAGAUUUUAGAGCAAGGAAACAAGGAUGUACUUAAUGAUAAUUAUGGGGCAUGUAUAAAGAUCUAAAGCUGCAGAAAGGAUAUGUUAUAGUUAUUAUCCCUAGUUUUUUAGACAUGAAAUAUUGAUGCCCAUUAAUUUACCAUGAACAUAUAUAUAUAUGUAAACUGUUGAAUUUUGAAUGAAGAUCAGAAGCUGUCCUAUAUGGCUUUAGAUUCAUGCAGGUGAAUGGUUCCACUAAGUUAAUGUGCAAAUAACAAUUGGAACCUCAUGAUGAAAGAAUGAUAUAAUCUGUAUGAGUUGAAGAGCAAAAUCUGGAGAUCUUAUCAGGAACUAUACAUGGAGAUUAUGUUAGUGUAAAAACUCAAACCAAAUACUACAGAGAAUCAAGAAAUUCACUUGUAUAGCAAAGACAGGGAAAUUCUCCACAAACCACUAUAAUCUUUCUCCCCAUUUUAUGAAAAUAUUUUUUACAGUGAAAAGUGAUAUUUAACAUAAUUUUCUAUUGAAUAUCCCUCUUUGAUGAAAAAUCUACAUUUUCUUCGUGAAAGUCAUUCAUUUAUCUUAUUCUAAAAAAUAAUCUUGUAAGUGAUAGCUAACAAAACCCAAUUAAGCAAAAAAUAUUCAAUAGGAAAACCCCUCUUGACUUUCCAAAUCAAUAGAUGGUUAUUAUUAUCAUCAAUCGUUGCAAUUUGUUUUGAGGGGAUGGAGCGAAUGGAGGCUUGCUGAGCUGAAUGAAGUUAAAUGAAGGAAUAUACCCCAUAUUGGAUCACAGACUUGGAUAGUGAUAAAGGCACACAGAUUUCCACAAUCUUGAAAAUGACUGAAUUAUCAAUAUAUAUCAAGAAUCAUGAAGAUUAUUUGCUGGGAAAAAAAUUAAAAAGAAAAUUUAUAU
RNAcentral lists this unclassified non-coding RNA (1631 nucleotides) under Hevea brasiliensis (rubber tree). The record is from RNAcentral. Lineage: Eukaryota; Viridiplantae; Streptophyta; Magnoliopsida; Malpighiales; Euphorbiaceae.